CAGUCGCCGCGGUAAUACGUAGGUGGCAAGCGUUGUCCGGAAUUAUUGGGCGUAAAGGGCUCGCAGGCGGUUUCUUAAGUCUGAUGUGAAAGCCCCCGGCUCAACCGGGGAGGGUCAUUGGAAACUGGGUAACUUGAGUGCAGAAGAGGAGAGUGGAAUUCCAUGUGUAGCGGUGAAAUGCGUAGAGAUGUGGAGGAACACCAGUGGCGAAGGCGACUCUCUGGUCUGUAACUGACGCUGAGGAGCGAAAGCGUGGGGAGCGAACAGGAUUAGAUACCCCCGUAGUCCCUGUCUCUUAUCC
Molecule: ribosomal RNA, 301 nt
Filed under: uncultured bacterium
Lineage: Bacteria
Description: partial 16S ribosomal RNA
Rfam family: Bacterial small subunit ribosomal RNA
Source: RNAcentral